This is a non-coding RNA of Equus caballus (horse), 2758 nucleotides long. The record is from RefSeq and is a predicted model, not a curated record. NCBI's taxonomy places the organism in Eukaryota, Metazoa, Chordata, Mammalia, Perissodactyla, Equidae.
GUCUCUCCAGUCUUUCCGAUCACGGGUCGCCUGUACUUGAAGGACCCACGUUGGUCUCCCGUUCUCUGUGUUUCGCUGUGACCUGACCUGAGUCAUAGGAAGGACGGCGGGGAACGCAGGAAACUUAGAAAUGUUGUGACCUAUACCAACCUCGCGAGUUAUACGAAGGACACCAGGGGACCCAGGAGCCCUAGAAAUGGACUCAGUGGCCAUUGAGGAUGUGGCUGUGAACUUCACCCCGGAGGAGUGGGCUUUACUGGAUUCUUUACAGAAGAAACUCUACAGGGAUGUGAUGUGGGAAACCUUCAGGAAUCUGGCCUCAAUAGGAAAAACAUGGGAGGAUCAUGAUAUUGAAGAUGAGCACAAAAACCAGGGGAGAAAGCAAAGAAGUCCUACGGUUAAGAGACUCUCUGAAAGUGAAAACGGUAGUCAAUGUGGAGAAAAUUUCAGCCUUAUUCCAAAUCUCAGUGUGAAGAAGAAAACUACAGGAGCAGAACCAUGUGAAUGCAGUGCAUGUGGAAAAGUCUUCAUGCAUCAUUCAUCCAUUAAAAGGCAAGUUAGGUGUCACACUGAACACAAACCAUACGAUUAUCAAAAAUAUGCAGAGAAGCCAUAUGUAUGUAAGGAAUGUGAGAAAGCCCUCCGUUUUCCCAGUUCUCUUCAAAUAUAUGAAAGAACCUGUACUGGAGAGAAACCCUAUAAAUGUCAAAAUUGCAGUAAAGCAUUCACUUCUUCCAGUUCUCUUCGAGUCCAUGAAAGAAUUCAUACAGGAGAGAAACCUUAUGAAUGUAAGGAAUGUGGGAAAGCCUUUAGAGCUCUGGCAAGCCUUCAGUCACACAUGAUCUUUCACACUGGAGAUGGACCGUAUAAAUGUAAGGAAUGUGAGAAAGCAUUCCUUUCUCCCAGUUUACUUGAAAUACAUGAAAGGAGACACACUGGAGAGAAACCCUAUGAAUGUAAAUAUUGUAGUAAAGCAUUUAGUCUUCCCAGUGUUCUUGAAAUACAUGAAAGAACUCACACUGGAGAGAAACCGUAUCAAUGUAAGGAAUGUGGGAAAGCUUUUAUUGCUCUCACAAACCUUCGAGUACACAUGGUCACUCACACUGGAGAUGGACCUUAUAAAUGUAAGGAAUGUGGGAAAGUAUUCAUUUAUCCCAGUUUAUUUCAAAGACAUGAAAGGAGUCACACUGGAGAGAAACCCUAUGAAUGUAAAGAAUGUGGGAAAGUUUUCAGUUUGUAUGCUUACUUAGAAAAACACAAAAGAACUCACACAGGAGGGACACCCUAUGUAUGUAAGGAAUGUGGCAAGGCAAUUAUUUCUCUCAAACUUUUCCAAAUACAUGAAAGGAGUCACACAAGAGAGAAAUCCUAUGAAUGUAAAAAAUGCAAUAAAGCAUUCACUUGUCCUAGUUCUCUUCGAGUACAUGGAAGAACUCACACUGGAGAGAAACCCUAUGAAUGUAAGGAAUGCGGGAAAGCCUUCAGAGCUCGCUCAAGCCUUCGAUCACAUGUGAUGCUUCACACUGGAGAUGGACCUUAUAAAUGUAAGGAAUGUGGGAAAGCAUUCAUUUCUCCCAGUUCACUUCAAAGACAUGAAAGGAGUCACACUGAAGAGAAACCCUAUGAAUGUAAAAAAUGCAGUAAAGCCUUCAGUUAUCCCUAUUCUCUUCGAGUCCAUGAAAGAACUCAUACUGGAGAGAAACCCUAUGAAUGUAAGGAAUGUGGGAAAGCCUUUAUAGCUCUCACAAACCUUCAAUCGCACAUGAUGCGUCACACUGGAGAUGGACCUUAUAAAUGUAAGGAAUGUGAGAAAGCAUUCAUUUCUCCCAGUUUACUUCAAAUACAUGGAAGGAGUCACACUGGAGAGAAACCAUAUGAAUGUAAAGAAUGCAGUAAAACUUUCAGUUAUAUUGGUUCUCUUCAAAAACACGAACGAACUCAUACUGGAGAGAAACCUUAUGAAUGUAAAAAAUGUAGUAAAGCAUUUGAUGUUGUCAGUUCUCUUCGAAGGCAUGAAAGAACUCAUACUAGUGAGAAAGCCUAUGAAUGUCAAGAAAGUGGGAAAGCCUUCAUUUCUCAUGCAACCUGUUGAGGAUGUCUGAGAAUGCAUGCUAGAGCAGAAAACAUAAAUGUAAUGAAUGUGGGAAAGACUUUUGUCAUCCUAGUUCCUCCUGAAGUUAUAAAAGGAGUCACUUGAUAAAACCUCUUGAAAGUAAACAGUGUGGGAAAGACUUAAUUGGCCUACAUCCUUCUAUGUGAAACUCCCACAAAAAAGAAAUAUAAAAGACUCAGUGGCCAUUGAGGAUUUGCUUGUGAACUUCAUCCUGGAGGAGUGGGCUUUCCUCGAUUCUCCACAGAAGAAACUUCAUGGAGGUAUUAUGCAGGAAACUGUCAUGACCUGGCCUCAAUGGGUAACAAUGACAAUUUGCAUUCACUGUUUCAAUUAGAAAACAAGUGUUUCUAGUUCAUCAAUGUUGUUCCAAGACAUGGAAUGUGGAAAGGGAGGAUGUUGGAUAAACUGGGCAUGGUCACAGCUCAUCAUGAACCUAGAAUCUAAUAACUUUUCUAUAAUUUCUAAUACUUUGGAAUCAUUAUUCUGGGUCUGAAUUUUAGGAAAAAAUGGGAAGAUCAUGAUGUUGAAGAUCGGUACAGAAAUCGGGGUAGAAACCUAAGGUGAGUCACACUCACAGUAGAGAGCAGUGUCUCAUGUGAGAAUCCUAGUGUAUUAAGAAAUUUUAAAAACCAGCAAACAAAACAA